This 90-nucleotide transfer RNA is filed under the name Deltaproteobacteria bacterium. RNAcentral's name for it is "tRNA-Ser". It matches the Rfam family "tRNA". Rfam says of the family: Transfer RNA (tRNA) molecules are approximately 80 nucleotides in length. Their secondary structure includes four short double-helical elements and three loops (D, anti-codon, and T loops). The record is from RNAcentral. Lineage: Bacteria; Pseudomonadati; Myxococcota; Myxococcia.
GGAGAGGUGGCCGAGUUGGUUUAAGGCGCUUGACUCGAAAUCAAGUGUACGCGAACCGUACCGGGGGUUCGAAUCCCUCCCUCUCCGCCA